RNAcentral lists this ribosomal RNA (484 nucleotides) under uncultured bacterium. RNAcentral's name for it is "partial 16S ribosomal RNA". It matches the Rfam family "Bacterial small subunit ribosomal RNA", at positions 30 to 507 of the family's 1533-position model. The record is from RNAcentral.
AUUGAACGCUGGCGGCAGGCCUAACACAUGCAAGUCGAGCGGAUGAAGGGAGCUUGCUCCUGGAUUCAGCGGCGGACGGGUGAGUAAUGCCUAGGAAUCUGCCUGGUAGUGGGGGAUAACGUCCGGAAACGGGCGCUAAUACCGCAUACGUCCUGAGGGAGAAAGUGGGGGAUCUUCGGACCUCACGCUAUCAGAUGAGCCUAGGUCGGAUUAGCUAGUUGGUGGGGUAAAGGCCUACCAAGGCGACGAUCCGUAACUGGUCUGAGAGGAUGAUCAGUCACACUGGAACUGAGACACGUUCCAGACUCCUACGGGAGGCAGCAGUGGGGAAUAUUGGACAAUGGGCGAAAGCCUGAUCCAGCCAUGCCGCGUGUGUGAAGAAGGUCUUCGGAUUGUAAAGCACUUUAAGUUGGGAGGAAGGGCAGUAAGUGAAUACCUUGUUGUUUUGACGUUACCAACAGAAUAAGCACCGGCUAACUUCGUG